Molecule: RNA transcript, 1255 nt
Organism: Camelina sativa (false flax)
Lineage: Eukaryota; Viridiplantae; Streptophyta; Magnoliopsida; Brassicales; Brassicaceae
Source: RefSeq, a predicted model, not a curated record
UCUCCCGUUCACACAUACUACUGUAUAAGAAAACUGAGAAACUGAGAGAAGAAGAAGAAGAAGAAGGAAGAGUGAGUGAGAGAAGAAGAAGGAAGAGUGAGUGAGUGAUGGAUUGUGGUCGCUGCAAAUCAUCAUAUCCAUGGCUAUACUCUGACAAUACCUUCGAAUCCGCCGCCGAUGAAUCUGGGAUCAAUGAAGCCUGGUUAGAGAUCUCUAGCCGCAGAUCGAGAGUCUCCGGCGAAGGUAGUGUGAAGAAGCUGGAGAGGAAGAAGAGCCAGGUGUUGCUCGAAGGUUACGUCGAGACUAGUGCUUCUUCUUCUGCUUUCUCCACGGACGAUGAUCAAAAAGACGAUCUGACGAGAUCCAAGAGUUUGACGGAUGACGAUCUCGAAGAUCUCAAAGGUUGUUUAGAUCUAGGUUUUGGUUUCAGCUACGACGAGAUCCCUGAGCUCUGCAACACUUUGCCUGCUUUAGAGCUUUGCUAUUCCAUGAGCCAGAAGUUCUUAGACGAUAAGCAUCGCUCACCGGAUCAUUCUUCCGCGGACGAUUCUCCGGUCACCUCCCCUGCUCCGAUUGCCAAUUGGAAGAUCUCUAGCCCUGGUGAUAAUCCGGAUGAUGUGAAAGCAAGGCUCAAAUACUGGGCACAAGCCGUUGCAUGUACUGUCCAAUUGUGCAGCUGAAGAAUGAAUCAGAAAAUUCUUGGGUGUGAAGAUGUUCUUACCUGAACAAUAUUUUGUCAGCCAUUGUUAGCUAAAGGAGGAGAGAUCUCAGAAUUCGAAGUAGUUGGCUAGUGAGAGCCUUUCACCUAACUUCGACUGGCCAUGUUUCUGCAGAGGUAACCAAUCUAACUGUGCCUGUUUAACUAAGUGUAAUGCAAUAUGAUUAUUGUCGUCAUGUAAAGCUUAUUGCAUGUGAGAUAUGGAAGCUAGAUUGUUGUCCUUGUGCAGACUUGUCUUACAUGAGAGCUGUCACUAACUGUUUAUAUGGACCUCUACUUGCGGAGUCUUGACUCGUUCCAUUUUUGUGAAUGUUUGUUGAAGAAGCUUACACUAUUGUGGCUUAUUUCCUAAUUUGGCCAUGCUACUGAAUCGUUUAUGAAGAAUCCAAUGGAAGGAAGAAAAGAAAAAGAGUAUUGGAGAUGUUAUGCUGAUUUAGCUUUUCAAAUUACAAAGUCGCCUGAUUUAUGAAAUUCUGAACAUUGAAGUCGUCACAUGUAGCUACCCAUUGCUCUAAAAUGUACUUAUAAGUUUUGCUC